RNAcentral lists this transfer RNA (75 nucleotides) under Methylobacterium sp. RNAcentral describes it as "tRNA-Gly". It matches the Rfam family "tRNA". Rfam says of the family: Transfer RNA (tRNA) molecules are approximately 80 nucleotides in length. The record is from RNAcentral. Lineage: Bacteria; Pseudomonadati; Pseudomonadota; Alphaproteobacteria; Hyphomicrobiales; Methylobacteriaceae. RNAcentral also lists the same sequence under 8 other names.
GCGGGUGUAGCUCAGGGGUAGAGCACAACCUUGCCAAGGUUGGGGUCAAGGGUUCGAAUCCCUUUACCCGCUCCA